UGUGUUUCAAUAAAAUAUAUUUAUGGACAAUAAAAUUUGAAUUGCAUAUAAAUUUUCACAUGCCACAAAAUAUUAUUCAUUUUAUUCAAACU
Cebus imitator (Panamanian white-faced capuchin) is the source of this 92-nucleotide long non-coding RNA. RefSeq lists it as uncharacterized. The transcript has 3 exons. The record is from RefSeq and is a predicted model, not a curated record. Lineage: Eukaryota; Metazoa; Chordata; Mammalia; Primates; Cebidae.